This 1085-nucleotide long non-coding RNA is filed under the name Strigops habroptila (Kakapo). RNAcentral describes it as "lncRNA (ENSSHBG00005018112.1)". Lineage: Eukaryota; Metazoa; Chordata; Aves; Psittaciformes; Psittacidae. The record is from RNAcentral.
GAAAGACCAUCACAAAGAUCAGCCUAUAAAGUUAAGGGGGAAAUUGUCUUUUCACAGAGAAUUUUAAAAAGCAACCACAAAAAAAAAAAAAAGUGUGUUUUCUCAACCAGAACAAAGCUAUAUUUUCUGUGGCUUCUGUAAACCAGACUUACCAUUCCAUACUCAGCCUUAUUACAACAUACUAUUUGAAAAAAAUGCAUAUAAUAAACGUGAAUGUCUUUAGAUGUCAAAAUGUGGGGCAAGUAUGGUAUAAAUCACCCCAACAAAAGACCUAGAACACUGCCAUGCAAGGGACAGGACAGACCCUUGUGGGGUCCGGUGUCUCCAGUCCAUACAGAUGUUCCACCACUAGGACCUGAGAAACAAACAGCUGAGGGGGGAAAAGUCCUUAUUAUUGGGGAUAAUACUAAUUUUUACUUCCCAUAGAUCACUUAGGCCCUUAACUAGAGGUGAUUUGUAAAAGAAAAGCAUUGCAUUAAUACCGGCUUUGGGAUGGGUAAUGGAGGUCCAGGAUUUUAAGUGUAAGUGAUUUAAACAUUAAAAAAACCCAAGAUUUUGCCAAACUGUGAGAAUCAAAUCACAUGACUGAAGGACUUAGAUUAGCCAUAUCUGAUUAUACUGCAGAAAAAGGAAGCCUUUGCUAUAGACUUAACCAUCCUCAGCAACUCCAAAAUUUAAGUAAAGCUCAUUCAAGAUGCGGUACAUAGCAUUUGUUAGUGUAAAAUCAAAGGGAAUACUAAUUAACGGUAACCUUUGCAUUGCCUCUUUAAAAUCCCAGGAAUACAUACAAAUUACACUAGUUAUUUAAUUUAAACCUACAACAGAAAAUAAAUACCUGAAUUUGAGGCCGCCUUUGCAGAUGAAGUGAUCAAAGACUGCAAACAGUAAGGGUGUCUCUCACCAUUUAAAACUAUCCCUUUGUUUGCAUCCCUACGUAUGCAGAUUGCGAGUAAAUACCAACACCUGGCAAACCCCAGGGAAGCCAGUCUCACACCAGGGCACUGCAGGGGUCUCUCAGCUCGGGAGAUGUGAGAAUCCAGCCUGGAUAAAAUACUGCAGUGGCACAGCUUCAGCUGCAAAACCAU